CUUCUACACUUCACUUCACCACGGCCACUCGCUCCCCUCCCGACUCCGACGCGGCGACACCAUCGCGCUAGGGUUAGCGCCGGCGACGGCCACCGCCACUCCGCCGCCCGCCCCUAUCCCGGCCGUCUGCUCCUCCCCCGGACGCCCCUCCCCCUUUCACGCGCGCAUCUAGGGUGGAGGGCGAAAUGACCAGCCGCACCUGCCACCUCUCGCCGGCAGCGGGUCCGCUGGAGGACGACAACCUGCUCUGCGAGAUCCUCCUCCGCCUCCCCCCGGAGCCGUCCUCCCUCCCGCGCGCCUCCGUCGUCUGCAAACGCUGGCGGUGCCUCGUCUCCGACCCCCGCUUCUGCCGCCGCUUCCGCCGCCACCACCGCCGAAACCCUCCCCUCCUUGGCUUCUUCAACAGAGACAGCGAUCUCUUCCCCUUCGUACCUACUCUUGAGCCCCCAAAUCGUGUCUCGCCUGGCCGCUUCUCCUUGCAGCGCCGCGAAGGCGACCGCUUCAUCUCCCUUGGAUGCCGCCAUGGCCUCGUGCUCAUCCGCAACGUACGGCCGAACAAGGUCCUGGUGUGGGACCCCGUCACCGGCGAACAGCACCACCUUGCCAUCCCCCCUGAGCUUGUGAUACAUGCGGAGAACACAGCCAUCAAUGGGGCAGUGCUUCGUGCUGCCGGAGACAUCCAACAGUUUCAUGUGGUCUUGACAGUGGUGGACAACGUCGACAAGCAACACAAACGAGCGCUCGCCUGGCUUUACUCUUCCAAGACCAACUUAUGGGGUGAUCUCGUCUCAACACCGGUUCCAUUCAAGGUUUCCACCUCGGAUAUUUUGGGUGAUGAAGAUGAUGUCACCUUGGUGUUUACGGGAAAGCCCGCUGUGAUGGUUAGGGAUUCUCUUUACUGGAUUCUUGCUGGGAAUUUUGUUGGAAUUCUUGAGUUUGAUUUGGAGAAGCAAAGCCUAGCUGUGAUACGGGUGCCAGCGCAUAUGCUUGAAAAUGGGUUUUACCAGUUCUGGAUUAUGCGGGCAGAGGGUGGUGGUCUUGGUUUACUGUUGCAGAAAGAUCAGAGUUUCCAGUUAUGGAAGAGGAAGACUGAUCGUGAUGGUGUUGCUUCAUGGGUUCUUGGAAGAACUAUUGAACUGGACAAGCUACUUUCCCUGAAUGGAAAUGGCAGCCAAGUCAUACUAGGGUUCGCUGAGGAGAAUAAUGUGGUGUUUGUGUGGACACACGGUGUCCUCUUUAUGGUCAAUCUUGAGUCUUUGCAGUUCAAGAAACUUGGUGAGACCAGAACCCUUUCUCACUAUCAUCCAUUCGAAAGUGUCUACACUGCAGAAAUAGAAAUUGGUGGUGGACAUGAUGGAGUUGAUCUUUCACAGCACAUAAGAUGAUUAUCUGGUUAGGUAUGCUACUGUGAUGUACUUGUUGAGCAGGCUGCAUCUUGGAUCUUUUCUCCAGGCCCUGCUCCUCACCCUCUUCAUGCCUUCAUCAGCUGUUCUCAAUUUGCUUCCUCAUGCCAUUGCACCUACCUUCUCUAUUAUUUGUUGCUACCACCUCACUAUUGGAUGAGGAACCUAUCCUGUCCAUCCAGCUGCCUUGCUUUCAUUUACCUCUUCCUUGGUAUCUAUGAUUACGUUCCGGUGGCUGUGAUGCAGAAAUGGGUUGUGCCCUUGUAAUGGUCAACUUUGUAACGAAUUCUUCCAUUUUGUACGCUUGUUCAACCCAGAAAUUGGCCCUCUGUGAUGGUCAGCCAUGAAAUCUGACUCGCAGGACUUCGUCGAUUAAUUUGUUUUGAAUUUCAAUUUACUGUUUCUUAUCCAGUUCAUGAAGACACAGUGACUUGCUCAGAUUAAUGAUUAGCGUCGACCCUGUCAGUUAAUCUUA
Molecule: RNA transcript, 1878 nt
Organism: Aegilops tauschii subsp. strangulata
Lineage: Eukaryota; Viridiplantae; Streptophyta; Magnoliopsida; Poales; Poaceae
Source: RefSeq, a predicted model, not a curated record